CACCCACUGGCUCGACUUCGCCACCGGCGACGCCACCGUCGAGAAGAAACUACUCACGGACUAGCUAAUUAAUAACGUACCGCCUUGCUAGCCCUCACCCUCACUGAUGAGUGCCAUAAGCAUUACUACAAAGACAGGACCACGCAACAACAAUGGUGCCAAUAAAGGCUUUGAAGCAUGCUUCGCCACAGAGCGCCUGCUUUUUCUUUUAAAACCAGCAUUUUCGUUUCAGCUUAUAUAUAUAUUUAUAGAACGCAUGAUCUGUAUCCAAUACAAGCUUCAGAACCCCUUUAUGUUUUCGGAAAAGGUCGUCCAAAACUCCGGUCCAGAUUAUGUUGCUAUUUGAAAACUGAGGCAAUAUAUAGCUUUAUAUCAUUAUAUGUGAG
This 386-nucleotide long non-coding RNA is filed under the name Zea mays. RNAcentral's name for it is "drought-responsive long non-coding RNA". The record is from RNAcentral. Lineage: Eukaryota; Viridiplantae; Streptophyta; Magnoliopsida; Poales; Poaceae.